This 4377-nucleotide long non-coding RNA is filed under the name Cucumis sativus (cucumber). Its description in RNAcentral is "long non-coding RNA (CSAT_LNC000060)". The record is from RNAcentral. Lineage: Eukaryota; Viridiplantae; Streptophyta; Magnoliopsida; Cucurbitales; Cucurbitaceae.
AAAUUCUUACGUCCCUGAAAGUUCAUCAUCACAAGAUUCACAACAGAAUAAUUUUGCUCACUUUCAGAUAUUAAAAAGGUUCGAAAAUUGAUUCUUUGGAGAAUUAGGCAUUUUUUGUGCCUAAAGUUGAUAGAAAACAACUCUAAAAUAUUAUCUGAGUUCUCUCAACCCAUAAUUUUGAAAGAAUAACUUUUGCUAAGUUCUCAAACAAAAUUUCUCACUGAAUUCAUCAAACUUAGUCAAACUUAAUAAGUUCAUUUUUCUAGGUUAUGCAUCCCAACAAAAAGGAUACAAAUGUUAUUCCCCAAUCACUAGAAAAAUGUAUACAUCCAUGGAUUUCACCUUUGAAAAUCAGUCUUUGGAAGUUAAUUCUACCUCCACCAUUCUAACCAUUCCCAUCACCACUGAAAUCUCAUCUCCUAUCAUAGAUGAGUUAAAGAAGGUAACUUUUUGGCAGCCAGUCAUUGAUAAAAUUCAAGGCAAAUCGGAAAAAUGGAAGAGAUAUAGCCUAUCAAGGGGAGGCCAAGACACUAUGCAAAUCUUUCUUUCUCAUCUUACAACUUAUUACAUGUCAAUUUUUUUCUUAUUAUUAAUAAAGAAGUUUGUUUCCGUUUCAAAAAAAACUUAUUACAUGUCAGUUUUUCUGAUGCCGAAAAAGGUAAUUCAAGAAGUUAAACAUAUUAUGACAAAUUUUCUUUUGGGAAGGUCAUAAGGGGGCUGGAUCAUCUUGUCAAAUGGGGAAACAAAAAAAAUUAGCUUUAUUAGCUAAGUGGGGAUGGAGAUUCACAAAGGAAGAAAAUGCCUUAUGACGUCAAGUGGUGAAAUGUAUCCAUGAAAGCAGUUUGGCGUUUUUAAAGGAAGCGAGCCUCUUCAUUAAUAUAAUGAAACGAGACUAAUGCUCAAAGUACAAGAGAAAUAUAGAAAGAGCUUGAAUUUCUAAGGGACAAAGAAACUGGAAACCAAAUACACGGACAAACAAAACGUGGCCCAAGAGCUAAACAAACUCCAAACAAGACAGAAAAACAACCAAAACAGCAGCUGAAAAAAAAUCAAUAUAAUUAAGGAGGUGUCAACCUAGUUGAGAUGUCCGGGUGCACCUUUUGAUAUCCCUAAUUUUUCUUUUGCUUGUUUAGACUUCUUUAUUACGCUUAUUGUAUAUUUCUUUUGUGCAUUGAGUUCUUUUUAUUAAUAAAGAAGUUUGUCUCCGUUCGGCAGCAUUAUGAAGAUUGUCUCUUGGAACACUAGGGGUUUGAAUGAUUCCUCCAAACGUGCAACACUCAAAAAGUCCAUCUUUAGUCUCUCUGGGUUUUUCUCUUCAUGGAGGGGAUAAGUAAAGCCAAUUUGCUGAUGCUGAUAUUUUGAAAGAUUUUUUUGCAUCUUCUUGCUAGUCUCUAUCUAGAUUCGAGUGUUUUCUUUUUUAGAGUUCAUGCGGCAACUUCAUUGGAAAAAUCGUGAGGAACUUCUUUUGGAAAGGAUUUGCUGGUGGCAAGAUCAAUUAUCUAGUAAAAUGGAGCUUGGUUUCCCUUCCAUUAAAAGAUGUGGGUCUCAGUCUAGGAGGCAUUAAAAUUCAAAAUUCAGCUUUGCUUUCUAAGUGGGGUUGGAGAUAUUCAAAGGAAGAUUCAGCUUUCUAGAGGAGAAUUAUUUGCAGUAUCCAUAGCAAAGAUACAUUUGAUAGGUUCACUUUGGGAAAUCUGGAAAUAGCCUAAGGAGUCCUUGGGUUAAUAUCUCUAGAAUUGAUGUAAUUCAAAGUUGGAUUUGGACCCUUUUUUUAUCCAAGAAUUCAAUCUGCCAUUCUCAAUAGGAGAAUGGUUAUUUAUAGAUGUGAGUGAUAGUUUACAGUUAGUUGUUUGGGUGUAACUAAUCAGUUAUUGUAACUGAUUAGUUUGAAGAAAACAGAAAAACAACUAAUACCAGAAAAACAACUAAUACCUAAUUGUGCUGUUAUCUUGACUGUGUAAUUGCAUCAAGAAUGUGGAGGUUAGUGGAGCAUUUAGCUUCUUUAAACUUGGCAGUGGCAGCAGAAUUGGUUUUUGGACAGAUUUCUGGGUUAGUCCCUCUACUCUAAAGGAACUUUUUCCUUCACUUUUCAGAAUUGCUUUAUUACCACAAGGCUCAGUUGCAGAUCAUUGGGAUCUUACUACCCUCUCUUGGUCCGUCUCCUUUAGAAGAAGCUUGAAAGAAAAGGAAAUAGUAGCCUUUAGUUCCUUAUUGGCUCUUCUUGUGCCAAAAAAAGUGUUUGAUGUUGACGACUCUAAGGCUUGGUCAACUGGAGAGCAUUCUCUGUUAAAUCUCUCUCAGCCCACCUGAACUCUACCUCCCCAAUGGAUAGAAAGCUCUUUAAAGCCCUAUGGAAAUCAGGCUGCCCUCGAAGAGUGAACAUUCUGAUGUGGAUCAUGUUUUACGAGUCCCUAAAUUGUGCAAAAAUUCUUCAAAAGAAGUCCCCAAGCAAAUGCCUCCAGAUUUCAGUUUGCCCUCUCUCUCCUUGGUGAUUCAGUUAUUGGAGGGUCCGCCUUUACCUAAGAAGCCUCGGCUGAUUUAGUUAAAUCUAUUAAAAACUCUUUUAGUGGAGUUGUGGUUUGAACGUAUCAGCGAAACUUUCAUGACAUGUAAAAACUAAACUUAGGAAUUUUCAAUUCAAUGCAAUGCAGCAGCUUGGUGCUCUCAAAACAAGAAUUUUACAAAUGACUCCACUCAAGACCUUUGUCUCAACUGGGCAGUUUUUCUAUCUCUGACAGUUUCCUAGGCCUACUUCUGAUGUGGUGUUCCCUAUCUGGACUUCCAUUUACACUUUUGUUGUAUUAAGAAGGCUCAGCCUUUGUACUGUCUGACAUUGUGUUUCUGCCCUAUUUUCUUUUCUAGUUUUCGGUGGUUUUUUAGAUUUGCUGUAAUAGGCUGGAUUUCGCUCUCAUUGUAAUAGGCUGGAUUUUGUCCUCAUUGUUGUGAUAGGCUAGUCUUACUUGGGUUAUGAUGUUUUGGUGCUAAGAGGGUGUCAACCUAGUUGAGAUGUCCAGGUGCACCUUCUGAUCCCCUAGUUCUAGUUUCUUUCUCUUGUACAUUGAGUUCUUUUUUUUUUUUCUGAAACAGAGACAAAAACUUCUUUAUUAAUAAGAACUCUAAGUACAAGAAAUUUAUACAAAGAGAGCAAUAAAGAAGAAAAAGAAAGGGGAAACCCAUAGGAUCAGGAGGCGCACCCGGACAUCUCAACUAGGUUGACAACUCCAUAGCACCAAUCAUCAUAUGCCGAGAAAGAAAACAUCAAAGCAACACAAAAACCAACAGAGGAGCAACCUAAUAACAAUCGGCCUAUUACAAGGGACCAGAAAAAACGAUAAAAAAAAUGAACAGAAAGAAGUUUGUUAUUAAUAAUAAAGAAGUUUGUCUCCGUUUAAAAAAAAAUACUAAAUAACAAAUCUACAAUAAUAAAUAAAUACAUAAUUCUAUAGUUUCCAUUAGAAGACUUCCCCAUUUUACCCUUUUAUUCUAAAUUUCUAAGAAAACACUUAUGUUUCCUUUUAGGUACAAUUCCAGCUCAUUGAGAAUUGAGACCAAAGUUUCAACAAAGUGAUGACAUUUAAAUUUCACAUAAAUUUGUAAGCAAAUCAAAAUUUUGUGUGAUUUUGAAAAUUUUAUAAUUAUCAAUAUCAUGAUGCUGGUCACAACUAGAAGGCACAAAACUUAAAACAAUGUGUAUAUGUGUAAACCUACCCGUUAACCAUGAGCACCACUCUAUUACCUCGUGUUAUUGGAACAUAAUUAGUUUCCUGCAAAUAUUACAAAAUUAUUUUAGAACAAGAAUGCUGGCUAAAUUGAACCCCAUCGUUCCUUUUAGGGAAAAAAGAAUAAUGAGACAGAAUGCACCCAUAAAAAUGUAAGAAUACAAGGUUAAAAUUUUGAUAAUUGUGUUUUAGAUAUGAAUAAUUGUUGAUUAUUUCCAUUCUUGUAUUAUAUUUUAUUGUAUUGGUAGUACUAUAUUUACCAAAAAAAAAUUUCCUUCUUUGGGUUCUUCUAUUUAAGAAAACUCUUCUCUCUUUGUGAAAUAUACAGAAAAUUAUAUUAUUUUGGCAUGGUAUCGGCUGAAACCCUGAAAACCCUAAUGUUUUGAAAAACCUAAAAAAAAUUAUAAAUCUCUUACAGCACCUCGCUGCCCACAUAUGUCCACCGCCUCGAGGGUCGUCGCCACCAAUCGCUCUACUCCAAUCAGUCGCCGCAGCCGAACAUCACCGACAACCACUUUUUUCUUGCACCUAGACAUCUCAACUAGGCUGACACCCCCCUUAACAUCCUUUGUGUUGAUUUCUUGUUUUUAUUUUAUUUGCUUAUACUGAUUUAUAGUCCUAGCUUGUUGUAUUCUUGUAAGAUUUUAUCAUUUAUCUUGGG